UGGUUGAAAAUACUGUGGUACCCCGAAGGCUGGUAAGCAUUUCAUCAGUCUGUGAUUACAGAUAUGUUUACUUAAUGUAGAUCAGUACACAUUUGUAUUCUGCCAAUUUUCUUUCCUGUAGCCUCGAUUGGGGAUACCCAGGCAGAAGCAUCUACCUUUUCAAUGAUGCCUGACUUCAGAAGAUUAUCUAACUCAGAGGAGACAGCCAAUCCGACAGACAAACGUGGGACUCUGGAACUGCCAGUCUGCUGUGGACAAAGCUGCCUUCAUUCCAGCUUUCGCCACACAGUCCACCCUCAGCAUCCUGGCACUGACAGAGACCUGGAUACGUCCUGAGGAUACAGCAACACCUGCUGCUCUCUCCAACAACUUCUCCUUCUCCCACACCCCUGGACAUACUGCCCUCCAGGUCAGCUGACAAGCUUUCUUGAGGAGUUGGAUGUCCUGCUGUCCUCCUUGCCAGAGGAUUGUGGUUCUUGGCGAUUUCAACAUACACCAAGACAAGCCCCAGGCCAUUGAACUGAAUACUCUUCUGGCCUCAUUUGACUGGGAAAAGACUACACACCACAGCAACUCACAGAUCAGCCAACCAUCUGGACCUCAUUUUUACACACCAGCACGUACUACACCACCCAGCCCCUGGCUGUCUGACGUCCUUCGUGAACAUCGGACUGAUCUCAGGGCAGCUGAGAGGAGAUGGCGAAAAUCUAAAGAUCCAGCUGAUCUAGAACAAGCUGCUGGAUGACAAUCAGUCAGGCUUCAAAAGUGGACACUCCCCUGAGACUGCCCUGCUGUCUGUCAC
This is a long non-coding RNA of Xyrauchen texanus (razorback sucker), 802 nucleotides long. RefSeq lists it as uncharacterized. The transcript has 5 exons. Lineage: Eukaryota; Metazoa; Chordata; Actinopteri; Cypriniformes; Catostomidae. The record is from RefSeq and is a predicted model, not a curated record.